RNAcentral lists this long non-coding RNA (1429 nucleotides) under Vigna radiata. RNAcentral describes it as "long non-coding RNA (VRAD_LNC017713)". The record is from RNAcentral. Lineage: Eukaryota; Viridiplantae; Streptophyta; Magnoliopsida; Fabales; Fabaceae.
UUAAAAUCUAGUUUGAGCAUCUAAUUCUUAGCAAACCAUCCAAUGCGUAUUUCUGCUAUUUGGAGCAACUUUCCAGUGCUGUUUUGGAGUCAUUUGCAUUGUUUCUAAGUUGUUUGACAAUCUGCCUCAAAUUUUGGAUAUUUGAGUUGUUUAUUUUGAAUUGCACAUGAACUGAAUAUAUCAAAUUUUGUUAUAAGUGGAAUCUACCAAGAAAAACUAGCCAAACAAGUUUAUAUUCAUCUAUUAAACAUGUUUGCGCAAGUCUAAUUCCAGUCUAUACANUUCUGGGCAUUUUCAAUGUUCAUGUUAUCCAAUUUUUAGGCACUUUUGAUGGCUCAAUUUAGUGCUGCAGCAGAAUUUGCUUGUUACAAACUGAAUUUGGUGUUAACCAUUAAUUGUUGGGUGUAGCAUAAGCUUAGGUCCAUAAAACAAUAAUUGAAAUCAUUUUCAAAGAAUAUGAAAUGAUAUUAAAAAGCUAACUGGACCAGUGCACCCAAUCUGCGAAAUCUGCAAAAAUUCAAAUUUCAUUUCUGCACUAAAAUUGAAUGUUCUUUGAGAUAUUUUUACAAACAGUUUGUAAAAUCUGCAUUGCACAUCUAAUUUGAGUUUAAUUUCCAUUCGUGUCUUUUUAUUGUUUUCUAAUCUACUCUAGAACAAUUCCUAGGAUCAUUUUGAGGUGCCUCCUUGUUUGUUACCCGAUUAAUUGCUUGCUUUUGAGUUAUUGGCCCCCNNNNNNNNNNNNNNNNNNNNNNNNNNNNNNNNNNNNNNNNNNNNNNNNNNNNNNUACACACAACCUAUUUGAUUAAAGGUUUUGUGGUGUUGUCUAUUUGAAUGCAAUUCUGGUAGCAACUAUAAUUUUGUAUUGGAAUUAAAUUGUGACUUAGUGAUCUGUGGAGGUAAUUUCUGUUGGUGCAGCAUAGCUAGAGAGACCUACACAUCAAUGGUAGCCUCUUAAGAAGUGCAGUAUGGGCAAAAUCAAGGGCAGAAACCACCUUUAGCAGCCUAACUUUUCUAAUUUGCCAUCCAUUUUAUUGCUGACACCACAGACUUACACAAACACCCUACAACUAUGAGGUUUUGAGAGUAGUGUUAACCCCCUGCUGGUCUGCACCAUAUUUUUUGUAACUGAUUGAGUGAGUUCUAGAACAACAAAUCACAUUUCCACCUUGCAGCUGUGAGUUUAGUUUGCUGGUCACCUCCAGCAAUAUCAUUGUGAGAAGCCAAAGUUGUUUUCCAAUAUUGUUGCCUAAUUCAGAUGGCAACUACUGUUGAACCGAUUGGAUCAAUUUGUGUUCUCAUCAAUAUGCAUUGAAUCAGUGUACUAAAGUUGCUACUACACUCCAUUUUCAAUUACUAAUCUCAAAUAACACUGUUCCUAUUCAAUUGAAAUUGCUAGUGCUUGGAGUCUUUGCUGUUUUGGCACUUUACA